UUUUUGAUCCAGGAGGGAAAGAGAGAGGAGGUCACUGGUUGAUUCUUUGCCACGCUUCUGACUCCUGGGCUUUUAUUGAUAAAAGAAUAAAUAGAUAAACGCUUCAGAUGUGUGUCCCCCCCCCCCCCAGAGAAGCUGUUACUGCUACUGAGUCAGGCCGCAGGCACAGAGUUAAGCUGCAAAAGUAGGAGAGGUUGCAGAGACCAAGGACAGGGUUAGAUCCAGGUGAACAAAAGGAUGGAUAGUUGGAUGUCAGAUCCAGAGGAAAGAGCAGACUGACAGACAGACAGACAGAUCCGAGUAAGACCAAUCAACAACAGGAAACAAGCUGAGCUGACGCCCCUGGGACACUCCAGUGUUUGCUGCCUGUGUACCAGUUAUCACAUGACAGGUCAACAUCACAGUGCUUCUUUUCAUGGAGCCCAGGAGAAGAGUUGCUCCCAUUCUUCAGCCUGAUACAUCUGGACUGCUGCCUUCAAGAUGCUGCUGCCAUAUUCAAGUUAGGUUUUCUUACCUCAAUUAGCCUAACACAAUGCCUCACAGACACACCUAGAGGCUAACCUAAUAUGGAUAACCCCUCAGGCAUGUCAUAGGCUUGUCUCCUCGGUGACUCUAGAGACUGUAACGUUGACAAUCAAUAUCUACCAUUAUCCAUCCUCCCAAAUGACUCUACAUUGUGUCAAGUUGACAAAAAAAAAAAAAAAUCAGCCUGAAUGCCGGACAGUGGUGGAGCACAUGGACCUCUGAGUUAAAGGCCAGCCUGGUCUAUAGAGUGAGUUCCUGGAUAGCAAGGGUUACACAGAGAAACCCUGAAAAAAAAAAGAAAGAAAGAAAGGAAAAGAAAAAGAAAAUUGCCUGCACAAACAGUUUUUGUCUUAACUGCUAAGACAUCCAGACCCAUCAGUUUUUCUCCUUUGACUGUCAUCUAUUAAUAUGGGC
RNAcentral lists this long non-coding RNA (939 nucleotides) under Cricetulus griseus (Chinese hamster). RNAcentral's name for it is "lncRNA (ENSCGRG00015009394.2)". The record is from RNAcentral. Lineage: Eukaryota; Metazoa; Chordata; Mammalia; Rodentia; Cricetidae.